Oncorhynchus tshawytscha (Chinook salmon) is the source of this 389-nucleotide long non-coding RNA. NCBI's taxonomy places the organism in Eukaryota, Metazoa, Chordata, Actinopteri, Salmoniformes, Salmonidae. The record is from Ensembl.
UGUGUGUGUAGGUGUGUGUAGGUGUGUGUGUGUAGGUGUGUGUGUGUGUAGGUGUGUGUAGGUGUGUGUGUGUAGGUGUGUGUGUGUGUAGGUGUGUGUGUGUGUGUAGGUGUGUGUGUGUAGGUGUGUGUGUGUAGGUGUGUGUGUGUAGGUGUGUGUGUGUAGGUGUGUGUGUGUGUAGGUGUGUGUGUGUAGGUGUGUGUGUGUGUGUGUGUGAGUGUAGGUGUGUGUGUGUGUGUGUGUGUGUGUGUGUGUGUGUGUGUGUAGGUGUGUGUGUGUGUAGGUGUGUGUGUGUGUAGGUGUGUGUGUGUGUAGGUGUGUGUGUGAGUGUGUGUGUAGGUGUGUGUAGGUGUGUGUAGGUGUGUGUAGGUGUGUGUAGGUGUGUGUAG